RNAcentral lists this ribosomal RNA (426 nucleotides) under uncultured bacterium. RNAcentral describes it as "bacterial SSU rRNA". It matches the Rfam family "Bacterial small subunit ribosomal RNA", at positions 354 to 796 of the family's 1533-position model. The record is from RNAcentral.
GUGAGGAAUUUUCCGCAAUGGUCGAAAGCCUGACGGAGCAAUGCCGCGUGAAGGAUGAAGGCCUAUGGGUUGUAAACUUCUUUUCUCAGAAAAGAAUUAUGACGGUAUCUGAGGAAUAAGCAUCGGCUAACUCUGUGCCAGCAGCCGCGGUAAGACAGAGGAUGCAAGCGUUAUCCGGAAUGAUUGGGCGUAAAGCGUCUGUAGGUUGUUUAAAAAGUAUUCUGUCAAAGAUUAGGGCUUAACCCUAGAUAGGCAGAAUAAACUUUUAAGCUAGAGUUUGGUAGAGGCAGAGGGAAUUCCCGGUGGAGCGGUGAAAUGCGUAGAUAUCGGGAGGAACACCAAAGGCGAAGGCACUCUGCUGGGCCAAUACUAACACUGAGAGACGAAAGCGAGGGGAGCAAAUGGGAUUAGAAACCCUUGUAGUCC